UGAAACGUCAUGAAUCUGUCAAAUCAAACUGACACAGCAUAUCUAUUGUUUAUUUAUGUUUACGUUAUGCUGUGCAGUGACGAAGAAAUAAUUCAAAGUAAAAAGUGGCACUUUUCCUGUGAAUAAAUCGGUGAAUGAAAUGAUUCACUGUGGGUUGUUGGACUAUGCGACCGGAAUCUUUUCGUGAAAGAUUGGUCCAUAGUCAACCCAUAACGGUCCCGGGACACCGUGACAGUCAUCUUGACUCUGCAAGAUGAAAUCAGAUUUGGCCCAUUAUCCAAGUUGGGCGAUCCCCUUCCAACAACUCCAUAGGUGGAGAAAGAUGAGGGCAAUUUCAUUCACCCCUCGCCUCCUUCUCCAAUCCUACCAGUGUUGGUAUGGAUCCCCGUAAUAAAUCAGGUGUUCAUCCUUUCGGCGGUGAUUGCACCAAGUGACUGGGGGCAAAAAGUAAUCCCACACAGCACCGGAACUGGGCAAUCUGCCAUAGGUAAGAGUGGAAAUUGAAAUAAAUGAGAAAUAAAAUUGUUUAAUUCUUA
Molecule: long non-coding RNA, 536 nt
Organism: Armigeres subalbatus
Lineage: Eukaryota; Metazoa; Arthropoda; Insecta; Diptera; Culicidae
Exons: 4
Source: RefSeq, a predicted model, not a curated record